ACUAGAGCCAAAUCUAUCUCAAAAGUUUAGGUCAUUUUUUUUCCUUUUUGAUAGUAUUCAAUGAGAAAUAACACUUUAAAUAAAACUUUUUCCAUGAGGAAGGUACAGUAAUUAUCCAC
Gorilla gorilla gorilla (western lowland gorilla) is the source of this 119-nucleotide unclassified non-coding RNA. NCBI's taxonomy places the organism in Eukaryota, Metazoa, Chordata, Mammalia, Primates, Hominidae. The record is from Ensembl.